UGGGUGGAGUUCCUUGUUCAGAUGAAUGAGGGAGCUCAGUGACUCAGAGAGAACCUGUAGUCUGUGAGCACAAGUUGUCUGGGCACAAGACUGACCCCCUUCAGACCUGGAGAGAAGACGUCCCAGCAAGUGGACAGGGGCCAUGGAGAGGAACCUGGGAGCUGUGCUGGGGAUUCUGUGGGUGCAGAUUUGCUGGGUGAGAGGAGAUAAUGUGGAGCAGAGUCCUCCAGCCCUGAGUCUCCACGAGGGAACCAAUCCUGCUCUGAGAUGUAAUUUUUCUACCUCCAUGAGGAGUGUUCAGUGGUUCCGACAGGAUCCCAGGGGCAGCCUCAUCAAUCUGUUCUACCUGGCUUCAGGAACGAAGGAGAACGGGAGGUUAAAGUCAACAUUUAAUGCUAAGGAGCGCUACAGCACCCUGCACAUCAAUGAUGCCCAGCUGGAGGACUCAGGCACCUACUUCUGUGCUGCUGAGGCACAGUGCUCCCAGUGAGCCUGCAGCCUGGCCCCAAACUGCAGCUGGCUGUGCAGCUACAACCCCUGCCACAGAAGAACUCUGCAGGAGGCUUUGCACAGCUGUGGCUUCAUCAGAUCUCCACAAAUCACAAAGAUGUGAGGAAAUAUAAAAAUACCACUGUAGUUCCCACUUACAUUCUGACUGACAUGACACUGACUUCUAGAAUGCUAAAUGCUCAGAAACAUCAGCAUGCAUGACUAAAAUAUACCCCUUUAUUUUUUCAGUUUUUGCUAAUGUCAUAGAAUAUAAACCUCUCUUACAUAUUGGAGAAUCAUUUGGGUCAUUUGUUAAAAUUCGAAACUGAAAGCAACUCUUUUCAUCCUUUGUUUAAAGAGCACAAGACAACACUGAGCUAAUCUGCUCAAUAUGAUGUAGAUAAAUUAAUUAAUUCAUCCAAUAAAUUAAGUGGUAGAAAGGCAAGAGAAAUCUUAUUAGAUCAAGACAUUAUAGAUAUGUCUUGAUAUUUUAAAUAUAUAAUACAUUUAUUCUGCAGUGUAAAAAAAUAUUUCAUGUAUUAAUUAGGAGCCAAAAGAUAAAAUAAAACUAGGAAGAUGUAUUUGCAAUUUAUGUCACAAUAAAACUUGUAGCAACUGAUUCUACCUUAUAUGCAAAACUUUUCUUUAAAACACUGCUUUCACUGGAAUUGGAACAGGCAGUCAUCCCCAGGGAAAGGAACAGGGAAAGACUAAUUGUCUAACACCAAAUGGUAAGUACUGAGACAUAGUUAAAAUGAACAUUUUAUGGAAUCUACAGUGUAUAUUACAAAUAUAUAUAUAUAUAAUUAAAACAAUUAAUAAAACUAUUAGUGAAUAAAAAAGAAUACUGCUUUCAAAA
This is a non-coding RNA of Rattus norvegicus (Norway rat), 1348 nucleotides long. The record is from the annotation of a RefSeq genome assembly. Lineage: Eukaryota; Metazoa; Chordata; Mammalia; Rodentia; Muridae.